This 101-nucleotide small RNA is filed under the name Salmonella enterica. RNAcentral's name for it is "partial RtT sRNA". It matches the Rfam family "RtT RNA", at positions 1 to 97 of the family's 130-position model. Rfam says of the family: This family represents a bacterial cis-regulatory element known as RtT RNA. The record is from RNAcentral. RNAcentral also lists the same sequence under 1 other name. Lineage: Bacteria; Pseudomonadati; Pseudomonadota; Gammaproteobacteria; Enterobacterales; Enterobacteriaceae.
UGUAUCGGAAGCCUGACGAGGAUGAGAACCUCCGGGGGCAAGAGGUUCGACUCGAGCGCAGCGAGAGAACGUUGCGUCAGCAACGGCCCGCAGGGCGAGCC